UACGUGGGGGGCAAGCGUUGUUCGGAAUUACUGGGCGUAAAGGGCUCGUAGGCGGCCUGUUAAGUCGGACGUGAAAUCCCCGGGCUCAACCCGGGAACUGCGUCCGAUACUGGCAGGCUUGAAUCCGGGAGAGGGAUGCGGAAUUCCAGGUGUAGCGGUGAAAUGCGUAGAUAUCUGGAGGAACACCGGUUGCGAAGGCGGCAGCCUGGACCGGAAUUGACGCUGAGGCGCGAAAGCCAGGGGAGCAAACGGG
Molecule: ribosomal RNA, 253 nt
Filed under: uncultured bacterium
Lineage: Bacteria
Description: partial 16S ribosomal RNA
Rfam family: Bacterial small subunit ribosomal RNA
Source: RNAcentral